Molecule: RNA transcript, 2574 nt
Organism: Hemibagrus wyckioides
Lineage: Eukaryota; Metazoa; Chordata; Actinopteri; Siluriformes; Bagridae
Exons: 5
Source: RefSeq, a predicted model, not a curated record
CACACAGCAGUAUGCAGCAGUGAGAGCACAUUAUCACUCGAUCUUAAAUACAUUUGCAGAACCCCGAGUUUCAAUUCAUUAUGGAGACGAAGAAAUUUUUCAGCACCACUUUCAUCCUGCUUGCUGUGUCAGUUCAGGGUGUCAUGCUGAAUGAUGGUGUCCAUGAGGAAGGAAGAGAAGGCAAUUCUGCAGUCAUCAGAUGUUCUUAUGCUGAACAAUAUAAAACCUCUCCAAAAUAUUUCUGUAAAAAAAACCAUGAACACUGUGAGACUCUUCUAAAAACUGAUGGUCAGAAUGACUGGAAGCUGGAAGGAAGACUGACUCUGUUUGACAACAAAGAGAAAAAUGUGUUUGUGGUGAACAUCGGUAACCUGAGUGUCCAGGAUGCAGGACGAUACAGCUGUGGAGUCGAAACAACAGGACAAGACCUGAUUACUGUAGUCCACCUGACUGUGAUGAAAGAAAGGACCGUUUCAGAAGCAACAUACAGAUCAGGAAGUGUGACAGCGAGCACAGGAAGUUCUACUCAGCCCACAGCAUCGCAGUCACUAUCAGGUAUGGAGUAAGAUGAUCUUUCUAAGCACAGAAAAACAUUUCUGAAAGCAGAAAUGAAGGCACUCAGCUAACCUGGGGAUACUUUGUUAUGACACAUUGCUUGUAUGUCUGGUUUUGACGUUGGUUCAUCAAGUUCAUUAGUUCAGAUGUUUCGGUUUUGACUCUGAACGUGUGUGUGUGUGUGUGUGUGUGUGUGUGGUCGGGUAUGUUAAUUCUGCACUGUCUAAAUUGGAAACUUAAGUUAAAACCACAAUUUUACUUACACAGGGUCAAAAGAUCACACACACACACACACACACACACACACAUCUCACUUCCCCCCAACGCUGACCAGUCUGUGUUGUGUUUUAUUCUGAAAACCACUGUGGUUUACACAGGUUCGCAUAAACUCUGUCUUCAUUCCCCACUCUCACUGUUCAAUUACAUUUUAUUGUAUCAUUUUAAUCCAUUAUUAUUAUAUAUAUAUAUAUAUAUUUGUUUAGAUUUUACAGGCAUCUUUUAUUAUAUUGGAGGGCUUUUGGUGCAGUACUGCUGGUGUUGUCAGUCACUUUCUGUGUCUUUAAAUGCAGAGUAAUUCAGAGCAGUGCAGACACACACUCUCUCUCUCACACACACACUCUCUCUCUCUCUCUCUCUCUCUCUCUCAGGCACAACUUGGCCCAAUUCAGUGGAGGACAUGAAGGAUGUCUGUGUAUAUGAGGAUAUACAGCAGAGCAAUCCUGCAGAAGAGGAAGCCUCAGAAACCCCAGACAUAAUGUUCAGUCCUAACUCUUAUUCAGCGUGCAAGUCAAUAUACGCCAAAUUAACCAAACCAAAGCAAGUGUCCUGUAGUAUAAGACUGGACACUGACCCCAACGAGAAUCUCACAGAACCAAAAUACUAUAUGUUUGAAGAAUUUCCAGAUGCUGGAGAUUUCAGUCAUUCUAGGGGAUACAAUGACACAUAUUCAACUGUACCCAGAGCUAUUAAUAACUCAAGUCCAGUCUACUCAGUAAUCGUCUUUUCCAAAACUGCCAUUAGUUCUGAUUACACAAAUGUGGUGCCACCAAAACAUGAUGAUAAAAUCUCUACAUGAUUGAUUUGUUUCUAGUGUAGGGACAGAGUGCUGGAAAGAGGUGAUUCCAGACACUGAUCAAUACUGGGGCAUAGGCUAUGUACACGGUAUUUAUGUAUGUAUGCAUUUAUUUGCUAAAAACUAGACUUUUUAUGAACUAACUAACUAACUAGCCCCCUAAAUAAACAAAUUGCCUCAAAAAGCAUUCACUGAUGUGAGUAAAUCACAUAAUUUGUAGCUGUAUGCCAAAAUAGAAGAGAUAAGCCAGCCUUCUUUUAGCAGUUAACAAGCUAGCAUUAUUGUUUAAAUCUGCACCAAGUAAAUGUGUUAUUUGUUAUUUAUUUAUAGUUAUUCAACUAAAUAGCUAUUUACACCACUACUUAUUAACAAAGUGAGAAGUGUCUGAUUGCUAGAUACCUCAGAUCUCCUCAGUCCAACAUUUACGGCUUUUCACAGAUGCCCUUAUCCACAGCAACUUACAUUUUUACCUCAUUUUAUACAACUGAGCAAUAGAGGGUUAAGGGCCUUGCUCAGGGGCCCGGCAGUGGCAGCUUGGUGGGCCUGGGUUUCGAAUCACAACCUUCUGAUCAGUAGUUCAACACCUUAACCUGUAAGGUCCACAUCUGAAAACACACAAAAGGUGUCGUAUUCAGAUGUUUUGGCCAAUCCAGUGUUCAUCUACUUCAGAGUGAUAAGUAACGAUGGACAAGCUGAAAAAUUGACAAUCUUUAUUAAAGUACAGAUGUCAGGACUCCAUUACCCAUCAGCCCCUGCACAUCAGAAGACUGGAAGCACUCUUGUGUUGCCUUGAGUUGUGUAUUGCUGUCAUGUUAUGCUUUUGUUGUAUUGGUUCCUGUUCAUUGUUUUUAUUUGUGUUGCACCAAUUAAACCUUAUCUGCACUUCAACUGUAUCAGCCUCCGACUUCAGUACCUGAGAAAACCUGAAAAAACAUCUUUACAUACAU